GGAAGCAUUGAGCAAUUGGUUGGCUCGCCAGACUGAAAUGCGUUUUUACGCAUUCAACGAAUCCUAUUAAUAAAUAGAAUCCGUUGAGUUAAAAUCUGGUCUUUAUAAGCGUGUAGGUUCGAGCCCUACUGCUUCCA
This 137-nucleotide transfer RNA is filed under the name Winogradskyella sp. PAMC22761. Its description in RNAcentral is "tRNA-OTHER". It matches the Rfam family "tRNA". From Rfam's summary of the family: Transfer RNA (tRNA) molecules are approximately 80 nucleotides in length. Their secondary structure includes four short double-helical elements and three loops (D, anti-codon, and T loops). Further hydrogen bonds mediate the characteristic L-shaped molecular structure. tRNAs have two regions of fundamental functional importance: the anti-codon, which is responsible for specific mRNA codon recognition, and the 3' end, to which the tRNAs corresponding amino acid is attached (by aminoacyl-tRNA synthetases). tRNAs cope with the degeneracy of the genetic code in two manners: having more than one tRNA (with a specific anti-codon) for a particular amino acid; and 'wobble' base-pairing, i.e. permitting non-standard base-pairing at the 3rd anti-codon position. Lineage: Bacteria; Pseudomonadati; Bacteroidota; Flavobacteriia; Flavobacteriales; Flavobacteriaceae. The record is from RNAcentral.